GCGGAUGUGGCGAAAUUGGCAGACGCACUAGACUUAGGAUCUAGCGCCGCGAGGCGUGUGGGUUCGACCCCCUCCAUCCGCACCA
This 85-nucleotide transfer RNA is filed under the name Chitinophagaceae bacterium. RNAcentral's name for it is "tRNA-Leu". It matches the Rfam family "tRNA". Rfam says of the family: Transfer RNA (tRNA) molecules are approximately 80 nucleotides in length. Their secondary structure includes four short double-helical elements and three loops (D, anti-codon, and T loops). The record is from RNAcentral. Lineage: Bacteria; Pseudomonadati; Bacteroidota; Chitinophagia; Chitinophagales; Chitinophagaceae. RNAcentral also lists the same sequence under 3 other names.